RNAcentral lists this transfer RNA (69 nucleotides) under Chasmodes bosquianus (striped blenny). RNAcentral's name for it is "tRNA-Ala". It matches the Rfam family "tRNA". From Rfam's summary of the family: Transfer RNA (tRNA) molecules are approximately 80 nucleotides in length. Their secondary structure includes four short double-helical elements and three loops (D, anti-codon, and T loops). The record is from RNAcentral. Lineage: Eukaryota; Metazoa; Chordata; Actinopteri; Blenniiformes; Blenniidae.
AAGGCUUUAACUUAAUUAAAGUAUCUGCUUUGCAUGCAGGAGAUGUAGGUUAAAGGCCUGCAAGUCUUA